RNAcentral lists this ribosomal RNA (1452 nucleotides) under uncultured bacterium. RNAcentral's name for it is "bacterial SSU rRNA". It matches the Rfam family "Bacterial small subunit ribosomal RNA". The record is from RNAcentral.
UGAACGCUAGCUACAGGCUUAACACAUGCAAGUCGAGGGGCAGCAUUUCAGUUUGCUUGCAAACUGGAGAUGGCGACCGGCGCACGGGUGAGUAACACGUAUCCAACCUGCCGAUAACUCGGGGAUAGCCUUUCGAAAGAAAGAUUAAUACCCGAUGGUAUAAUCAGACCGCGUGGUCUUGUUAUUAAAGAAUUUCGGUUAUCGAUGGGGAUGCGUUCCAUUAGGCAGUUGGUGAGGUAACGGCUCACCAAACCUUCGAUGGAUAGGGGUUCUGAGAGGAAGGUCCCCCACAUUGGAACUGAGACACGGUCCAAACUCCUACGGGAGGCAGCAGUGAGGAAUAUUGGUCAAUGGGCGCAGGCCUGAACCAGCCAAGUAGCGUGAAGGAUGACUGCCCUAUGGGUUGUAAACUUCUUUUAUAUGGGAAUAAAGUUUUCCACGUGUGGAAUUUUGUAUGUACCAUAUGAAUAAGGAUCGGCUAACUCCGUGCCAGCAGCCGCGGUAAUACGGAGGAUCCGAGCGUUAUCCGGAUUUAUUGGGUUUAAAGGGAGCGUAGGUGGACAGUUAAGUCAGUUGUGAAAGUUUGCGGCUCAACCGUAAAAUUGCAGUUGAUACUGGCUGUCUUGAGUACAGUAGAGGUGGGCGGAAUUCGUGGUGUAGCGGUGAAAUGCUUAGAUAUCACGAAGAACUCCGAUUGCGAAGGCAGCUCACUGGACUGCAACUGACACUGAUGCUCGAAAGUGUGGGUAUCAAACAGGAUUAGAUACCCUGGUAGUCCACACAGUAAACGAUGAAUACUCGCUGUUUGCGAUAUACAGUAAGCGGCCAAGCGAAAGCAUUAAGUAUUCCACCUGGGGAGUACGCCGGCAACGGUGAAACUCAAAGGAAUUGACGGGGGCCCGCACAAGCGGAGGAACAUGUGGUUUAAUUCGAUGAUACGCGAGGAACCUUACCCGGGCUUAAAUUGCAUUUGAAUAUAUUGGAAACAGUAUAGCCGUAAGGCAAAUGUGAAGGUGCUGCAUGGUUGUCGUCAGCUCGUGCCGUGAGGUGUCGGCUUAAGUGCCAUAACGAGCGCAACCCUUAUCUUUAGUUACUAACAGGUCAUGCUGAGGACUCUAGAGAGACUGCCGUCGUAAGAUGUGAGGAAGGUGGGGAUGACGUCAAAUCAGCACGGCCCUUACGUCCGGGGCUACACACGUGUUACAACGGGGGGUACAGAAGGCAGCUACCUGGUGGCAGGAUGCUAAUCCCAAAAGCCUCUCUCAGUUCGGAUCGAAGUCUGCAACCCGACUUCGUGAAGCUGGAUUCGCUAGUAAUCGCGCAUCAGCCAUGGCGCGGUGAAUACGUUCCCGGGCCUUGUACACACCGCCCGUCAAGCCAUGAAAGCCGGGGGUACCUGAAGUACGUAACCGCAAGGAGCGUCCUAGGGUAAAACUGGUAAUUGGGGCUAAG